GGGUCAGCAGGUUGGUCAUGCCACUGGUAUGUACUGGUCUCACUGAUUCCUCCUUCCUGAUGAACUGUAAUGCCAUUAAUUUGGUGUUGCAGGGAAUCUGGACUGUUACUUUGAAAAAAUCGGAGUGUUUAAAGCAGGCAUAUGCUUGAAUACAUUAGCAUGGAAUAAUGAAAUAGGACGUUCGAUCCUAUUUUGUUGGUUUCUAGGAUUGACGUA
RNAcentral lists this ribosomal RNA (216 nucleotides) under Campeiostachys nutans. Its description in RNAcentral is "Elymus nutans partial small subunit ribosomal RNA". The stretch from base 40 to 216 matches the Rfam family "Eukaryotic small subunit ribosomal RNA", at positions 686 to 864 of the family's 1831-position model. The record is from RNAcentral. Lineage: Eukaryota; Viridiplantae; Streptophyta; Magnoliopsida; Poales; Poaceae.